This 382-nucleotide ribosomal RNA is filed under the name Scytodes sp. 53 YFL-2022a. Its description in RNAcentral is "partial large subunit ribosomal RNA". It matches the Rfam family "Archaeal large subunit ribosomal RNA", at positions 2025 to 2673 of the family's 2987-position model. Lineage: Eukaryota; Metazoa; Arthropoda; Arachnida; Araneae; Scytodidae. The record is from RNAcentral.
GUACUAAGGUAGCAUAAUCAUUAGUCUCUUAAUUAGGGAAUAGAAUGAAAGGAGUAACUAAUCAUAACAUUAUAAUAAAACUUUUUAAUUAAACUAGCGUUAUAGUAAGAAGACUAUAAUAUAUUAGAAAGACAACAAGACCCUAUUGAACUUUACAUUAAUGUUUUACUGGGGAAGUAAAUUAACAAAAUUUUAAUUAUAUAUAAUUUACUUAAUCGGAUCAACUCAAUUACAGAAACAAGUUACCAUAGGGGUAACAGCACAAUAUUACUUUAGAGCACGUAUCAAAAGUAAUGAUUAUGACCUCGAUGUUGAAUUAGAAUACUUAAUUAAGUAAAAUUAUUUAAAGUGGGUCUGUUCGACCCUUAAUUAUCUACGUGAU